AUAGGGUUCCACUUGGGACACAAGCAGAGAGCAGGUCUGUUUAUAUCUGGUGCCUCUGUCUCCAAAGCAACAUGAUGAAGAUGAAGACGAUGAAACAAAUAUAUAUAUUUUUUUUUAUUCCAACUGGUUUUAGAACACACACAAUGAAUUAUUCAAACAUAAAACACAUCAGAAUAGUUCCUUCCUGGCUGAAGUGUGAUCAUGAACACUAAAUUAGGGAGAAAGUACAGUUCCACCGCGGUCAGAUUAAAAAAUAAACAAUUAUACAGAGAAUGUAAAUGUGUAACAGUAUGUGUACAUCCCAAAUAGAGCCCUAUUCCCUAUAUAGUGCACUACUUUAGACCAGAGCCCUAUGGAACCCUAUUCCCUAUAUAGUGCACUACUUUAGACUUUGCCCACUACCCACACUGUGUUACAUCAGGAAGUGGGGGAGGGAGGCAGCCCAACAGUAGUUGGCACUACAUAGCCUGCGUCCCAAAUGGGACCCUAAUCCAUAUAUUGUGCUCUACUUUUUUAAAACAAAAGUAGUGCACUAUAUAGGGAAUAGGGUGCCAUUUGCUCCCAAGUGGCGGAGCAGUCUAAGGCGUUGCAUCUCAGUGCAAGAGACGUCACUACAGUCCCUGGUUCGAAUUCAGGGACUGUGAUUGAGAGUCCCAUUGGGCAGUGCACAAUUGGCCCAUGUCCGAGUUUGGCCCGUGGUAGGCUGUCAUUGUAAAUAAGAAUUUUUUCUUAACUGACUUGUCUAGUUAAAUAAAAGGUUAAAUAAAAAACGAAAUACAAAUUUGGGACGCAAUCAUGGAUUCCACCAGUUAAACUUCAACCUCAUCCCCAGACUAUUUGGCACAGGAGGAAGUGUCUGGGAACAGGAGGAAGUGUCUGGGAACAGGAGGAAGUGUCUGAGCACAGGAGGAAGUGUCUGGGAACAGGAGGAAGUGCCUGGGCAAAGGAGGAAGUGUCUGGGAACAGGAGGAAGUGUCUGGGAACAGGAGGAAGUGUCUGAGCACAGGAGGAAGUGUCUGAGCACAGGAGGAAGUGUCUGAGCGCAGGAGGAAGUGUCUGAGCACAGGAGGAAGUGUCUGAGCACAGGAGGAAGUGUCUGAGAACAGGAGGAAGUGUCUGGGCACAGGAGGAAUAGUCUGGGCACAGGAGGAAGUGUCUGAGCACAGGAGGAAGUGUCUGAGAACAGGAGGAAGUGUCUGGGCACAGGAGGAAUAGUCUGGGCACAGGAGGAAGAGUCUGGGCACAGGAGGAAGAGUCUGAGCACAGGAGGAAGUGUCUGGGAACAGGAGGAAGUGUCUGGGAACAGGAGGAAGUGUCUGAGCACAGGAGGAAGUGUCUGAGCGCAGGAGGAAGUGUCUGAGCGCAGGAGGAAGUGUCUGAGCACAGGAGGAAGUGUCUGAGAACAGGAGGAAGUGUCUGGGCACAGGAGGAAUAGUCUGGGCACAGGAGGAAGUGUCUGAGCACAGGAGGAAGUGUCUGAGAACAGGAGGAAGUGUCUGGGCACAGGAGGAAUAGUCUGGGCACAGGAGGAAGUGUCUGAGCACAGGAGGAAGUGUCUGAGAACAGGAGGAAGUGUCUGGGCACAGGAGGAAUAGUCUGGGCACAGGAGGAAGAGUCUGAGCACAGGAGGAAGAGUCUGAGCACAGGAGGAAGUGUCUGGGAACAGGAGGAAGUGUCUGAGCACAGGAGGAAGUGUCUGAGCACAGGAGGAAGUGUCUGGGACCAGGAGGAAGUGUCUGGGAACAGGAGGAAGUGUCUGGGAACAGGAGGAAGUGUCUGAGAACAGGAGGAAGUGUCUGGGCACAGGAGGAAGUGUCUGGGAACAGGAGGAAGUGUCUGGGAACAGGAGGAAGUGUCUGGGAACAGGAGGAAGUGUCUGGGAACAGGAGGAAGUGUCUGGGAACAGGAGGAAGUGUCUGGGAACAGGAGGAAGUGUCUGAGCACAGGAGGAAGUGUCUGAGCGCAGGAGGAAGUGUCUGAGCACAGGAGGAAGUGUCUGAGCGCAGGAGGAAGUGUCUGAGCACAGGAGGAAGUGUCUGAGCACAGGAGGAAGUGUCUGGGACCAGGAGGAAGUGUCUGGGACCAGGAGGAAGUGUCUGGGAACAGGAGGAAGUGUCUGGGACCAGGAGGAAGUGUCUGAGAACAGGAGGAAGUGUCUGGGCACAGGAGGAAGUGUCUGAGCACAGGAGGAAGUGUCUGGGAACAGGAGGAAGUGUCUGGGAACAGGAGGAAGUGUCUGGGCAUAGGAGGAAGUGCCUGGGAACAGGAGGAAGUGUCUGAGCACAGGAGGAAGUGUCUGGGCGCAGGAGGAAGUGUCUGAGCGCAGGAGGAAGUGUCUGAGAACAGGAGGAAGUGUCUGGGCACAGGAGGAAGUGUCUGGGAACAGGAGGAAGUGUCUGAGCACAGGAGGAAGUGUCUGGGCAUAGGAGGAAGAGUCUGGGAACAGGAGGAAGUGUCUGGGAACAGGAGGAAGUGUCUGGGAACAGGAGGAAGUGCCUGGGAACAGGAGGAAGUGCCUGGGAACAGGAGGAAGUGUCUGGGAACAGGAGGAAGUGUCUGGGAACAGGAGGAAGUGUCUGGGAACAGGAGGAAGUGUCUGAGCACAGGAGGAAGUGUCUGGGAACAGGAGGAAGUGUCUGGGAACAGGAGGAAGUGUCUGGGAACAGGAGGAAGUGUCUGGGAACAGGAGGAAGUGUCUGGGAACAGGAGGAAGUGUCUGGGAACAGGAGGAAGUGUCUGGGAACAGGAGGAAGUGUCUGGGAACAGGAGGAAGUGUCUGGGAACAAGAGGAAGUGUCUGGGAACAGGAGGAAGUGUCUGGGCACAGGAGGAAGUGCCUGGGCAAAGGAGGAAGUGUCUGGGAACAAGAGGAAGUGCCUGGGAACAGGAGGAAGUGUCUGAGCACAGGAGGAAGUGUCUGGGAACAGGAGGAAGUGUCUGGGAACAGGAGGAAGUGUCUGGGAACAGGAGGAAGUGUCUGGGAACAGGAGGAAGUGUCUGGGAACAGGAGGAAGUGUCUGGGAACAAGAGGAAGUGUCUGGGAACAGGAGGAAGUGUCUGGGCACAGGAGGAAGUGCCUGGGCAAAGGAGGAAGUGUCUGGGAACAAGAGGAAGUGCCUGGGAACAGGAGGAAGUGUCUGGGAACAGGAGGAAGUGUCUGGGAACAGGAGGAAGUGUCUGGGAACAGGAGGAAGUGUCUGAGCACAGGAGGAAGUGUCUGAGCACAGGAGGAAGAGUCUGGGCACAGGAGGAAGAGUCUGGGAACAGGAGGAAGUGUCUGGGAACAGGAGGAAGUGCCUGGGAACAGGAGGAAGUGCCUGGGCAAAGGAGGAAGUGUCUGGGAACAGGAGGAAGUGUCUGGGAACAGGAGGAAGUGCCUGGGCAAAGGAGGAAGUGUCUGGGAACAGGAGGAAGUGUCUGGGAACAGGAGGAAGUGUCUGGGAACAGGAGGAAGUGUCUGGGAACAGGAGGAAGUGUCUGGGAACAGGAGGAAGAGUCUGGGAACAGGAGGAAGUGUCUGGGAACAGGAGGAAGUGUCUGGGAACAGGAGGAAGUGCCUGGGAACAGGAGGAAGUGUCUGGGAACAGGAGGAAGUGUCUGGGAACAGGAGGAAGUGUCUGGGCACAGGAGGAAGUGCCUGGGAACAGGAGGAAGUGUCUGGGCACAGGAGGAAGUGUCUGGGAACAGGAGGAAGUGUCUGGGAACAGGAGGAAGUGUCUGGGAACAGGAGGAAGUGCCUGGGAACAGGAGGAAGUGUCUGGGCACAGGAGGAAGUGUCUGGGCACAGGAGGAAGUGUCUGGGAACAGGAGGAAGUGUCUGAGCACAGGAGGAAGUGUCUGAGAACAGGAGGAAGUGUCUGGGAACAAGAGGAAGUGUUUUUUUGAACAGGAGGAAGUGUCUGGGAACAGGAGGAAGUGCCUGGGAACAGGAGGAAGUGUCUGAGCACAGGAGGAAUAGUCUGAGCACAGGAGGAAGUGUCUGAGAACAGGAGGAAGUGUCUGGGAACAAGAGGAAGUGUCUGGGAACAGGAGGAAGUGUCUGGGAACAGGAGGAAGUGUCUGAGCACAGGAGGAAGUGUCUGAGCACAGGAGGAAGUGUCUGAGCACAGGAGGAAGUGUCUGGGCAUAGGAGGAAGUGUCUGGGAACAGGAGGAAGUGUCUGGGAACAGGAGGAAGUGUCUGGGAACAGGAGGAAGUGUCUGGGAACAGGAGGAAGUGUCUGGGAACAGGAGGAAGUGUCUGGGAACAGGAGGAAGUGUCUGGGAACAGGAGGAUGUGUCUGGGAACAGGAGGAAGUGUCUGGGAACAGGAGGAAGUGUCUGGGAACAGGAGGAAGUGUCUGGGAACAGGAGGAAGUGUCUGAGCACAGGAGGAAGUGUCUGAGCACAGGAGGAAGAGUCUGGGAACAGGAGGAAGUGCCUGGGCAAAGGAGGAAGUGCCUGGGAACAGGAGGAAGUGCCUGGGCAAAGGAGGAAGUGCCUGGGAACAGGAGGAAGUGUCUGGGAACAGGAGGAAGUGUCUGGGAACAGGAGGAAGUGUCUGAGAACAGGAGGAAGUGUCUGGGAACAGGAGGAAGUGUCUGGGAACAGGAGGAAGUGUCUGGGAACAGGAGGAAGUGUCUGAGAACAGGAGGAAGUGUCUGGGAACAGGAGGAAGUGUCUGGGAACAGGAGGAAGUGUCUGGGAACAGGAGGAAGUGCCUGGGAACAGGAGGAAGUGUCUGGGAACAGGAGGAAGUGUCUGGGAACAGGAGGAAGUGUCUGAGAACAGGAGGAAGUGUCUGGGAACAGGAGGAAGUGUCUGAGCACAGGAGGAAGUGUCUGGGAACAGGAGGAAGUGUCUGGGAACAGGAGGAAGUGUCUGGGCACAGGAGGAAGUGUCUGGGCAUAGGAGGAAGUGUCUGGGAACAGGAGGAAGUGCCUGGGAACAGGAGGAAGUGUCUGGGAACAGGAGGAAGUGUCUGGGAACAGGAGGAAGUGUCUGGGAACAGGAGGAAGUGUCUGAGCACAGGAGGAAGUGUCUGGGAACAGGAGGAAGUGUCUGGGAACAGGAGGAAGUGUCUGGGAACAGGAGGAAGUGUCUGGGAACAGGAGGAAGUGCCUGGGCAAAGGAGGAAGUGUCUGGGAACAGGAGGAAGUGCCUGGUGUGUGUGUAAUCUUGACAACCCAGAACCAAAUCUUGUGUGCUCUCGCGGUUCAUGUUUCUUUGUAACGAGAGAAUAGGUGUGUAUUCAUUAGUGCACAGAAAACAUUUUGCAAUGAAAGCAAAGCGUUUGUUAUUGGAUAAGUUAUGGUUAUUCUCUCCCCCAUUUCAGCCUGCUUGCUCUGGUUUGAAUACCAGUGAACACACCCUGGUGUGUAAGAACAUCAACCAGGAGAGGUCAGACGGUAUGUUUAACAGUAAGGUAGGUUCCUCUAAAUGUUUGGUCAGGAGGCUAGCUGGAUCAGUUAGUGCUCUUCAGCAUUCUGUAAACAGACAGAAACACAAUGAUACUGCUGCUUCAUUCAUCAGAGGCUUUAGGCUACAUCGAAGACCAUCAGAGACUAUCAGAGGCUUUAGGCUACAUCGAAGACCAUCAGAGACUAUCAGAGACUAUCAGAGGCUUUAGGCUACAUCGAAGACCAUCGAAGACCAUCAGAGACAAUCAGAGACAAUCAAAAGAUCAGCAUUGUUUAUAAAAAGGAUCAUUGGCAACAAACAUUUCUCAACAGACUAGAAAAUUACAACAGGGGGGGGAAAAAAAAAAAGUAGAUAUAAGUUUCUCUUUUCCUUCGGCCAGCCCGUCUGUGAUGUCACAGUCACAUUCGGCACAUUGGCCACGUUCUAGUAGUCCCUCCUGGUAUCUUUCUGGUUUUUCCACGUUUGGUUUCUAGUGAAUACAGCCAAGGCUAGUUCGGUGUGCGACAAGGAACAAAAUGGGCUUUCCAGACAGACAUGAUAUCAUUCAUCCACUCUGCUCCUCUGUGGAUUCCAGCAGGAAAGAUGGGACGUCGGACCGACUGGGUUUCACAAAUAGAAAACACCAAAACAAAAAAAAAAAACGAUUUCUGUCCGUAGACCCAAAAAGGCUCAUUUCCUUGGCAAUUUCCCUUUGAGAGUGUCUGUUGACACUGGUAACUCAGGUAGAGAAGUGUUUGAGAUGUAAUGUCCAGAGGAAAGGCGGUAGUCUCUCAGUCUUCAUCUGUUUCUGUCUCCUGUGGCUGCUUGUCCCGUAAUAGUGGAAUGACAGACUCCCACGCUGCAAGGCACUGAAACACAGAGGGUGGGAGGGAGAGAUGAGUUAGAGGGAGAGAGGAGGACAUGAGUUAGAGGGAGAGAGAAAGAGGUUGAGAGGGGGGAGGAGAGAGAAAGAGGGAGAUGAAAGAGAGGGGGACAUAGAGAGGGAGACAACAGAGUGAGAGGGGAGAAAGAGGGAGGGAAAGAGACAAGAGAGGGGGAGGGAGGGAGCGAGAUGGGGAGAGAGAGAUGCUGCAAGGCAC
This 6477-nucleotide long non-coding RNA is filed under the name Salmo salar (Atlantic salmon). RNAcentral describes it as "lncRNA (ENSSSAG00000110914.1)". Lineage: Eukaryota; Metazoa; Chordata; Actinopteri; Salmoniformes; Salmonidae. The record is from RNAcentral.